AAGGACAUGUGGAGCGCUUAGAAGUGAGAAUGCCGGUGUGAGUAGCGAAAGACGGGUGAGAAUCCCGUCCACCGAUUGACUAAGGUUUCCAGAGGAAGGCUCGUCCGCUCUGGGUUAGUCGGGUCCUAAGCUGAGGCCGACAGGCGUAGGCGAUGGAUAACAGGUUGAUAUUCCUGUACCACCUAUAAUCGUUUUAAUCGAUGGGGGGACGCAGUAGGAUAGGCGAAGCGUGCGAUUGGAUUGCACGUCUAAGCAGUAAGGCUGAGUAUUAGGCAAAUCCGGUACUCGUUAAGGCUGAGCUGUGAUGGGGAGAAGACAUUGUGUCUUCGAGUCGUUGAUUUCACACUGCCGAGAAAAGCCUCUAGAUAGAAAAUAGGUGCCCGUACCGCAAACCGACACAGGUAGUCAAGAUGAGAAUUCUAAGGUGAGCGAGCGAACUCUCGUUAAGGAACUCGGCAAAAUGACCCCGUAACUUCGGGAGAAGGGGUGCUCUUUAGGGUUAACGCCCAGAAGAGCCGCAGUGAAUAGGCCCAAGCGACUGUUUAUCAAAAACACAGGUCUCUGCUAAACCGUAAGGUGAUGUAUAGGGGCUGACGCCUGCCCGGUGCUGGAAGGUUAAGAGGAGUGGUUAGCUUCUGCGAAGCUACGAAUCGAAGCCCCAGUAAACGGCGGCCGUAACUAUAACGGUCCUAAGGUAGCGAAAUUCCUUGUCGGGUAAGUUCCGACCCGCACGAAAGGCGUAACGAUUUGGGCACUGUCUCAACGAGAGACUCGGUGAAAUCAUAGUACCUGUGAAGAUGCAGGUUACCCGCGACAGGACGGAAAGACCCCGUGGAGCUUUACUGUAGCCUGAUAUUGAAAUUCGGCACAGCUUGUACAGGAUAGGUAGGAGCCUUUGAAACGUGAGCGCUAGCUUACGUGGAGGCGCUGGUGGGAUACUACCCUAGCUGUGUUGGCUUUCUAACCCGCACCACUUAUCGUGGUGGGAGACAGUGUCAGGCGGGCAGUUUGACUGGGGCGGUCGCCUCCUAAAAGGUAACGGAGGCGCUCAAAGGUU
Molecule: ribosomal RNA, 1057 nt
Filed under: Staphylococcus aureus
Lineage: Bacteria; Bacillati; Bacillota; Bacilli; Caryophanales; Staphylococcaceae
Description: bacterial LSU rRNA
Rfam family: Bacterial large subunit ribosomal RNA
Source: RNAcentral